Molecule: long non-coding RNA, 3181 nt
Filed under: Nicotiana tabacum (common tobacco)
Lineage: Eukaryota; Viridiplantae; Streptophyta; Magnoliopsida; Solanales; Solanaceae
Description: long non-coding RNA (NTAB_LNC019386)
Source: RNAcentral
UUUCAGUUUUACUUGUCACUUUUAGCGUAUUAAGAGAAGAUGAUUUCUUUUUUUCAGUUAUACCCACAGUAUUAACUACUAAUUUCAAAUUAUUUUCUCAAAUUCAUUAAAAAUAUGCAUCAAUUAAUAUGAGUAUCAUGGUAAAUUAUGUACUUCAUUUAUUUUCUCAAAGUCAAUAGUGGACAAGUAAAAUUGAACAUAGAAAUACUUGAAUUUCUUGGUUUAAGAGAAGUAUGACAUUCCUAAGACCAGCAAGCUAAUAAAAUGUUUUAGACGCUAUACUCUUUUCGAUGAGAGAAAAAAAGGCUUACUAACAAAAUAUACUAGGUUGUGCCCGUAUUGUGUUAUUUGCAAAUCCCAGACCGAUGAAAAGGUUAAUUCCUCAAACUCAGCUAUAUGAUUACAAAAGAGGUUCAACACGACCCGAAAGAACAAAAAAAUUAAAAACUUCCACAGAAAUUAUGAGGAACUUUGAAAAGAUCCAAGGUCUUAUAAUGGAAGAAUUAUUUAUGCACUACAUUGCCUCACAUGAGUUAGAUCUAGUGGCUAGAGUGCAUAUGUGAUGUGUAGGUUAAGUGCACGCCAUGCCAUGUGUAGCCGACAAGGAAGAGAUUGUUUAUAAGUAUUCCCUAUGUAUUAAGAUGAGUCUUUCAGUUCACGUGAUUUUUAUCAAUCAAGGCAACAGAAGACCACUCUUGUUAGGUGCUCCUCGUCUAACAAUUUAUAAUAUCCCUUAAUUAAUAGUAAUAAUUACACGACAGAGAUCAUCAAGCAGUGACAAACUAAGAUUAUUUGUGGAGAAGGGUGCAAUGUGCAGCUAACAAUUAUUCAGAAGAUAGGGAAGAGUUCUGAUAUUUGCAUAGGACCUUGUCCCACUAAGAGAUAGACCGAAAGACUUAAAGUAUCCUACAAUAUUAAUUCUAUAUUACCCUUCAACUUACAAAGAGUUGAAGUUUUAUUUUUAUGGAGAAAGGCAUCUGCAGAUUGUCAGGCUCAAUUAGCAAACUAAGCAAAUUUGUACUAACCUUAACAAAAGAAGGUUCUUGAUUAUCAGAGUAAUGACUAAUGAUCAACUCAGCACCAAAAGAAGGGUAAUUAUCAAUAAAAGAGUAAAUCUCCCUUGAUCUGUUCUUUCUAAGCAAAGAUUAUUUUUUGUACAGUUGAUAAUAUGAAUAUCGUUUGCUGGCAUCGCCCUUUGACAUAAAGAGCACCUUUCUUUCUCAUUUUUCUAUUCGCAAAAGGACGUGUAAACAAUCUCUUUUAUAGAUAGAACUUGCAAAUUGUUUUAUUAUAUUUAUUGAAAAUGUGCAAACAAAAAAAGAAUGUAUAGAUUGCUUUUAUGUUGAUCAACCUGUACCUAGCAGCUUAAAGUGAAGGAGUUCUUGCAGCUCAGCUUAUAUACCCCCGCACCUGCACAUUCUGUUGCCUCGUGAUUGCCUUGAGUUUGAAUAACUGUCAUAUACUUGAGAUCUACAUUUGGUGUUGGAACAAUGGGUGAUCUGCAAGCAAGAAGUUCAUCAUUCUCAGCUUCACAGUCAUUUCACCAACUCAUAACCAAAACUCCACCAAAUAGCCCGGAGGAUUCUCCUUUAUAAAGCACCAAAAGUUACUUAUAUGACUAAGCAAAGUAUACAAAAGUUUCAAGUACUUCAGCUCUCAUUCGUGAAGUAAACUUAACAAAGAACACACAGAGGUUGACCAGAAUCUCAUUUAAAAUCCACAGUUCAGCAGACAGGAGAUGUAGGCAGGGGCAGCUCUAAAGGCUUGGGCAGAGAGGUUGUCGCCUUAGGGCUUAGGCCCCCAAAAUUUGAAGGCCCCGAAUUUAUUUUAAAUUCUUAUUAUUAUUACUAUAUAUUAUAUAAAUAAUUAGUAUAAAGAAAAGUGUUACAAUAUAUUUUUUUUGUUAUUUGAUUGAGGUUAUUUUAUAUCAAUAAACUCAUAAAUUAUGAUAAUUUUCUUUACUGAUUAAUUAGUAUAUUUGCUUCUGUCUUCAAUUUUAACUUUAUCCUUUUUAUAUAGGAAUUACUUUAUAAAUUAUGAUAAUUUUCUUUAUUGAUUAAUUAGUAUAUUUGCUUCUGUCUUUAAUUUUAAUUUUAUCCUUUUUAUAUAGGAAUUAUGUUAUAUAUAUUGACAAUAUAAUGAAUUUCUUUUACAAUGUUCUCUCAAACUGCAUGAACACAAAAGCAUUCAUGCACCGGUUGUCUUUUAGUAUAAUUCGACAUAUUAUAUUAGGUUGUUUAUAAUUUAUUUUAGAUAUUCACCAAUAAGUGCUACUUAAUAAAAUGACUACAAUUAUCAUUUAAAUUGAUCAUAAGGAGUAAAUAUUUUUUACUUUAAUGCUCAAAACUUAAGCUAUUGCGUUAUGUACGUUUAUUUCUUUUUCUUGUUUGUGAUGAUAGCCAAAUCAAAAUUUGUAGACCUCAAUAUCCGAUAGUCCACCACUUUAUCUUUUGUGCUCCUCUUCUUAUUUGUUUUUUGAAAUUCGCUUAUUUUUGUCUUAAAUGAUUAAUGUAUUGUUUAGAAAGUAAAUUUUAUUGUUAGUGUAAAUAUUUUAUAAAAUAAAUUUAAGAGCCUCUCAAUAUGGUUUCGCCUUAGGCCACGAGAUACAUUGAGCCGCCCCUGGAUGUAGGGAUCUUAUUCUAGUUAUUUCCUACUUCUUUGCAUUUAACUUUCUUUUCUUCAGUGAAAGAUAAUUCCUUUGGAAAGUUACCAUGAAUUUACAUAUUUUUUAUUGUAGCUCUUCCUUUUUAUUUUUCUUUUAAAAUUUCAUAAUGAUAUGCCUAAAUACUUUUUGUUUAUGUAAAUUGCACAUAAGAUUCCAGAAAUGUACUCAGAGUGAUAAACAUUAGUUGAAGGAUAUCGUUUAAUUGAUCAGAAGCAACCAUUAUUUUUUUUUUCAAAGAACUUGUCAACAUGGUUGAGAAAAUUUCUUCAAUAACUCGCUAAACUACGGAAAUCAUUUUUUUUUUUGUGUGUGUGAAUCUUUUAUUUUUUCCAUUUAUUCUACUACAAAUGCAGAGGAAAACUAAAGAGAAAAAAAGGAAGCUUUGUACCAAUCAUAACCACUUGGUAGAUUGGAUCAUACUACUCCUUGGUAGAUUGGAUCGUACUAUUUUGCCUGCUUCGCUAAAUGUCCUCAUCUCCAGCAACAGAUUAGCAAAAAAUUCCUCUACUGAGUUAU